Molecule: long non-coding RNA, 1049 nt
Organism: Apus apus (common swift)
Lineage: Eukaryota; Metazoa; Chordata; Aves; Apodiformes; Apodidae
Exons: 3
Source: RefSeq, a predicted model, not a curated record
GUGAGCUGCAGAAGGCUCAGAGCACUGCAGCAUCCUGUGUCCCAAUUUUGUGUCUCCUGCAGUGAUCCUUUGCCUACACAGAGAUGGAGUGGCAACAGCAUUGCCACAGCUAUUUCAGCAUUAGCUCAGAACAAGCAAAUGGUAACAGAAUGUUUGUGGCAGCUUCACAAUUUCUUUAAACCACUUUUAUCCUGGUACAUGAAAAUUGCCCAAAUUUUCAGUUCACAAACUAAGUACUAAUCCGUUCUGUGCCUCACAUUUUAAAGACAUUGCAUAAUUCUCUGGCAUCCAGCCACAAAAACUCUCCUUUGAAGAAAAGCUUUGGGGAAUGACAACAUUAAGAAGCAGGGCUUAAAGGACUUGAAGUGACCAGCCUCUCUGGAGUCCACUAAUAUUGCCCCAGCAAUAAAUGCUGGGGUAAUUAUAUUUUUAUAGUCAUGGAGAGCUUUGUAAGCUUUCCAUGACAGAAAUGAAAAGACAGCGUCCCUGCCCCAAUUAACUCACUUCAGUUGCAAUGCCAUGGAGGAGGAUGGGUAACAAACCAGAAUAGAACAAGUAGAUUUUGUGAGGACUCAUGCCCUAAUUUUGACAAAGUUACACAGGAACUGAGGAAGCAUAAAGUCAUCUUCAGAAGAACAUCUAGUUACUCAGCAAAGGCCUUGCAUAGCAGGAGACAGAGAGAAGAAAACAAUUUUUAGGAAAACUGUAAAAGCAGAUAUUUUUUUUCUUCCUGGCAAUUUUCUUGAGACCUGGAAAGAAAAGUGGAACAAUGAGCAAAGAGGAAAAACAUAACUGAGCUGAGCAGCACAUCAUCUGGUACAGGAUAUUCUGAGCAUGGGGCAAAGAACGGAAAAAAACAGAGCGACGGGGGAGCUGCAGCUGCAGGGGGAAAAUGCAAGAGUAAUUUCCUGGGAGGUCACAAAAAGCUGCACUGGUAAAAAAACUUCUGCAUUGCAAGGAGCAACCUGACUCUGCAGUGAGAGAAAUCAAAGGCUUGCUUUCAGAAUUGCCUGCUCCUUGGAAAGAGGAACAUGUGAAAUUGGUUAGUU